Molecule: ribosomal RNA, 425 nt
Filed under: uncultured bacterium
Lineage: Bacteria
Description: partial 16S ribosomal RNA
Rfam family: Bacterial small subunit ribosomal RNA
Source: RNAcentral
GUGGGGGAUAUUGCACAAUGGGGGAAACCCUGAUGCAGCGACGCCGCGUGAAGGAAGACGUACUUCGGUAUGUAAACUUCUAUCAGCAGGGAAGAAGAUGACGGUACCUGACUAAGAAGCCCCGGCUAACUACGUGCCAGCAGCCGCGGUAAUACGUAGGGGGCAAGCGUUAUCCGGAUUUACUGGGUGUAAAGGGAGCGUAGACGGUGAAGCAAGUCUGAUGUGAAAACCCGGGGCUCAACUCCGGGAGUGCAUUGGAAACUGUUUUACUUGAGUGCUGGAGGGGCAAGCGGAAUUCCUGGUGUAGCGGUGAAAUGCGUAGAUAUCAGGAAGAACACCGGUGGCGAAGGCGGCUUGCUGGACAGUAACUGACGUUGAGGCUCGAAAGCGUGGGGAGCAAACAGGAUUAGAAACCCCGGUAGUCC